RNAcentral lists this ribosomal RNA (585 nucleotides) under uncultured bacterium. RNAcentral describes it as "partial 16S ribosomal RNA". It matches the Rfam family "Bacterial small subunit ribosomal RNA", at positions 355 to 1375 of the family's 1533-position model. The record is from RNAcentral.
UGGGGAAUUUUGGACAAUGGGCGAAAGCCUGAUCCAGCAAUGCCGCGUGUGUGAAGAAGGCCUUCGGGUUGUAAAGCACUUUUGUCCGGAAAGAAAUGGCUCUGGUUAAUACCUGGGGUCGAUGACGGUACCGGAAGAAUAAGGACCGGCUAACUACGUGCCAGCAGCCGCGGUAAUACGUAGGGUCCAAGCGUUAAUCGGAAUUACUGGGCGUAAAGCGUGCGCAGGCGGUUGUGCAAGACCGAUGUGAAAUCCCCGAGCUUAACUUGGGAAUUGCAUUGGUGACUGCACGGCUAGAGUGUGUCAGAGGGGGGUAGAAUUCCACGUGUAGCAGUGAAAUGCGUAGAGAUGUGGAGGAAUACCGAUGGCGAAGGCAGCCCCCUGGGAUAACACUGAUGCUCAUGCACGAAAGCGUGGGGAGCAAACGGGAUUAGAUACCCUGGUAGUCCACGCCCUAAACGAUGUCAACUAGUUGUUGGGGAUUCAUUUCCUUAGUAACGUAGCUAACGCGUGAAGUUGACCGCCUGGGGAGUACGGUCGCAAGAUUAAAACUUAAAUGAAUUGACGGGGUCAUAGCUGUUUCCU